This 684-nucleotide ribosomal RNA is filed under the name Exiguobacterium marinum. RNAcentral describes it as "bacterial SSU rRNA". It matches the Rfam family "Bacterial small subunit ribosomal RNA", at positions 53 to 706 of the family's 1533-position model. The record is from RNAcentral. Lineage: Bacteria; Bacillati; Bacillota; Bacilli; Caryophanales.
ACAUGCAAGUCGAGCGCAGGAAGCCGUCCUGAACCCUUCGGGGGGACGGACGGUGGAAUGAGCGGCGGACGGGUGAGUAACACGUAAAGAACCUGCCCAUAGGUCUGGGAUAACCACGAGAAAUCGGGGCUAAUACCGGAUGUGUCAUCGGACCGCAUGGUCCGCUGAUGAAAGGCGCUUCGGCGUCGCCCAUGGAUGGCUUUGCGGUGCAUUAGCUAGUUGGUGGGGUAAUGGCCCACCAAGGCGACGAUGCAUAGCCGACCUGAGAGGGUGAUCGGCCACACUGGGACUGAGACACGGCCCAGACUCCUACGGGAGGCAGCAGUAGGGAAUCUUCCACAAUGGACGAAAGUCUGAUGGAGCAACGCCGCGUGAACGAUGAAGGCUUUCGGGUCGUAAAGUUCUGUUGUAAGGGAAGAACAAGUGCCGCAGGCAAUGGCGGCACCUUGACGGUACCUUGCGAGAAAGCCACGGCUAACUACGUGCCAGCAGCCGCGGUAAUACGUAGGUGGCAAGCGUUGUCCGGAAUUAUUGGGCGUAAAGCGCGCGCAGGCGGCCUCUUAAGUCUGAUGUGAAAGCCCCCGGCUCAACCGGGGAGGGCCAUUGGAAACUGGGAGGCUUGAGUAUAGGAGAGAAGAGUGGAAUUCCACGUGUAGCGGUGAAAUGCGUAGAGAUGUGGAGGAA